GACGAACCGAGCGAACGUUGUUCGGAAUCACUGGGCUUAAAGGGCGCGUAGGCGGGUUCUCAAGUCCGGGGUGAAAUCCCACAGCUCAACUGUGGAAUUGCCUCGGAUACUGGGGGUCUCGAGGGUGGUAGGGGUAUGCGGAACUAUCGGUGGGGCGGUGAAAUGCGUUGAUAUCGAUAGGAACUCCGGUGGCGAAGGCGGCAUACUGGACCACAUCUGACGCUGAGGCGCGAAAGCCAGGGGAGCAAACGGG
RNAcentral lists this ribosomal RNA (253 nucleotides) under uncultured bacterium. Its description in RNAcentral is "partial 16S ribosomal RNA". It matches the Rfam family "Bacterial small subunit ribosomal RNA", at positions 524 to 776 of the family's 1533-position model. The record is from RNAcentral.